GUAAACAUAACUUAAAUAAAGUAUUAGAUUGUGAAUCUAAAGAUAGAGACUAACCCCUCUUGUUUACC
This 68-nucleotide transfer RNA is filed under the name Exilisciurus exilis (least pygmy squirrel). Its description in RNAcentral is "tRNA-His". It matches the Rfam family "tRNA". Rfam says of the family: Transfer RNA (tRNA) molecules are approximately 80 nucleotides in length. Lineage: Eukaryota; Metazoa; Chordata; Mammalia; Rodentia; Sciuridae. The record is from RNAcentral.